This 541-nucleotide long non-coding RNA is filed under the name Homo sapiens (human). RNAcentral describes it as "HSALNT0084618". The record is from RNAcentral. Lineage: Eukaryota; Metazoa; Chordata; Mammalia; Primates; Hominidae.
GGACAGUCAAUACCAAUCCUGCCUGUUCCAUUUUAGCAAUCAGUGGAACUACUCUAGUCAGUUGUACAGGUGGCCUCAGGUGAAAACUCAGGGCAGGACAAAUAUUCAGGAGAUGAGACCUGGGGAAAACAGAUGACAAUGGACAAGUUACAGUCAUUCCUUCAUCCAUCAUCCUUCAAUAAAUGCCUGGUGAGAAUACUGCACACUUGGGUUGGCAAGCUGCUUUGCUGUACUGUCAAUGGGCAUCCUCCUGAGAACAAGAAGUCUGGCAUUCCUAGGACUGUGUCUAGGAAAAGGUAGGAAAAAAAUAGAGGUUUACCAGUUGUCGAAAGAAAAUGUAAACAGCCAUUCCACUUUAUAUACCUUAAACUAUUCGGUCUUGGGAAACUAUUUGCUUUGGAGGAGAGUUUGUUUUCUCAAAAAGGAAAAUAAUCCAUUGAACAUGGAGCUGAAUUGUAUUGAGCUGGAACAGAAAAGCAAGACUGAAAGAAAAAAGGCCAACUAGAUUACUUCUGAGGUAAAUGAUAGAAUUGGAGAAAAU